GGUAAUCAAGGUUUGUGCUAAGUGCUUGGGGUUUCCCGAAAGGGAAAGCCGCAUGUAAGCUUGUCCCGUGGAAAUGGAUUAAGCUUUCCUGGUAGCAUCCCUACCUUCCUUUAAGCUCGAUCGUAUGGGGCGAUGUCUCUACGCUAGGGACCCUAGAGGAGAAACCUCUCCGUGUGUCGUUCUCGUGUUAGCCCGUGUAGCGGCGUUUGAGGAGAACCCUGUGUGCGCAGAGAAGUGUUCCCUUCAGGUGGAACUGCCUGGGGAGACGGUAGAGCCUGAGUCCUGUGUGAGCGUGGCUGGGGACGGUGAGGCUGCAGGCCGGGCUGGCCUGGUUCUGAAGCGAGCCAGCGAGGCAUGCGGUGAGUACUGAGUAGGACUGUCACAAGCAUAGCAGCACGUCUGGCUGAAUCUUCGGUAUCGGCAACCCGCAAAGAUCCUGAGAAUAGACUUAAUUAAGGAAUAUACUGUUGGAGGUAUGCCCUAGAGGCAAUCAUAGAGAUGAUGAUAUUCCAUUUGUAUCCAUGAUUUGUAUAUUGUGUUCAUUGAAUAUCCAUUAAAGGCUACUUGAAUUGAUUUGCAAUUAUGUGAAUUGUAUGUGAAACUCUUUACUAGUAUGGUUAUUCUAAUGUUUUCCCUAGUCGGAGUUCAUGUGAGGACACACAUGAAUAUUAGACUAGCACAUGUAUUAGUUGAUGACUAUGUUUCACAAGUCAUGGACAUGGAGAUGUUGAACUAAUAAUGUGGACACAUGUGGAGACAUGUGUUAGGACUGACCCAACACGAGAAGUAGUUCUCUCUUUAAACAACAUAUACGCUUUGUCCUUAGACCUGAGAUUGUCGCAUGUAUUCUAGAUGUGGAUCGACCUACUUAGGGGCUAUCAAACGCUACGCCGUAAUAGGGUAGUUAUAAAGGUAUCUUUCGGGUUUGUCAAGAAGCAUGCUAUGAGACAUGGUCACUCAAGAUGGGAUUUGCCCCUCUCUGAUUGAGAGUGAUAUCUCUGGGCCCCUCGAGUGAUCGGAUCCGAAAAUGCAUGGCCAUGCUACGUACGGUUAAGAGUUAACCUACAAAGGGAUUCCGAAUCACAGGAUCGAGAAAGAGCGGUCGGCUUGAAGCUAGACCAAAUAUCGUGAGGCAAAGGGAAUAGCAUGUAUAUUAUGUUAUGAUGGUUCGUCUGAUAUGAUCUUCGUGUGCGUAUAGGAGUUGGCACGUCUUGCUAGAGGCCGCUACCGACUAUUGGGCCGAGUAGGAGUACUCGGGCCAUGUCUAUACGUAUCCGAACCCAUAGGGUCACACACUUAAGGGGCUGGAAGCCCAAUUCGGAUCUGAUCCGAGUUGGAUUAGGUUUAGGAGUACUAAUGGGCCUCGGAUCCAGAGGCCCAUCAGGAACCUCUAUAAAUAGAGGGGUGGGGGCGCCCUAGGGUUUACACCUUUUGGCGAAACACACCUGCCGCGCCUCCCACGCCCUCGCCUGUUGCAACUCGCGGAUCUAGCAGUCCGGCUUGCGACGCUUCCUCCCUGCACGUGUGGAUACCUUGGAGGUGUGCGCCUGCAGCACUUGGACGAGCCAUCGACGAGCCGCCGACGAGCCACGACGAGCCGACGACGAGCCGCGGUACCGGAGGCGAUCUUGCUGCACGUGGACGAGUUGCUGAGGAGCUGCUGGACGUGAUCGACUACGUACGACUACGUUGAUCGACUACGUACGACUACGUGAUCGUCUUCAUUGCAUCGACGCAUAUCUACAUCUUCCGCACCAGUAGUGCGUCGAGUGGUAAUCCCGUGAUCCUUAUACGGCAGUUCUUCCUGGUUAUACGCGGUAGAAAUUUUGAUUUACGCUAAUGUAGCCUACCUCGUAUCCCAACAUAUACCUAAUAACGCACCCGCGCGUGCUCGUAUCCCCUGAAUGCGACCUCGAAUAGUAGCUCAAUAGUGCGUAAUAGUGAGUGAAUAGUGGCUGAAUAGUGCCGCCACCCAUAGGUGCUCCAUCCACUCCCGGUGAGUGCUCGGGCACUAUUCAUAUUCCCGAAUUUGAAUAGUGAGCUGAAUUUAAAUAGUGCCGCGAAUUUGAAUAUGAAUAGUGCCCAAGCACUCACCGGGAGUGGGUGGAGCACCUAUGGGUGGCGGCACUAUUCAGCCACUAUUCACUCACUAUUGCGCACUAUUGAACUACUAUUCGGGGUCGCUUUCAGGGAUACGAGCACGUGCGGGUGCGUGAUUAGGUAUAUUCCUUAAUUAAGCCUAUUCUAAGGAUCUUUGCGGGUUGGUGAACCUGAAGAUUCAGCCGGUCGUGCUGCUAUGCUUGUGACAGUCCUACUCGGUACUCACCGCAUGCCUCGCUAGCUCGCUUCAGAACCAGGCCAGCCCGGUCUGCACCCUCACCGUCCCCAGCCACGCUCACACAGGACUCAGGCUCUACCGUCUCCCCAGGCAGUUCCACCAGAAGGGAACACUUCUCUGCGCACACAGGGUUCUCCUCAAACGCCGCUACACGGGCUAACACGAGAACGACACACGUAGAGGUUUCUCCUCUAGGGUCCCUAGCGUAGAGACAUCGCCCCAUACGAUCGAGCUUAAAGGAAGGCAGGGAUGCUACCAGGACAGCUUAAUCCAUUUCCACGGGACAAGCUUACAUGCGGCUUUCCCUUUCGGGAAAUCCCAAGCACUUAGCACAAACCUUGAUUACCUUACAAACCGAGGGACGAGCUCCAACGGCCUCCCUUUAUUCUAGUGGUGGUAGUAUAGAGGUGGAGUAAUAUAGCGGUAGAUUCUAAAGUAUGGUGGCUAAUUCUUUCUCUCUCAGAGAGUGGUGGUGGAUGUCUUCAUGAGUGGAGUAUGAGUGGAGGUCUUCGGUGGUGGAGUGUGUCUUCGUGAUUCUUGGUGAUGCUCUGGUUGUGAUCUGGUUGAUGUCGUAGUGUGGUGCCUCCAAUGCUUCACCCGGUACCUCCUUUUAUAGUGGCGGCAGAGGCUUCUGGAGUUGCUUCGUGCUUAAGGCUUCUGGUGCCUUCAACUAUUCUCCUCUUCUGUUGCCUGGACACUUGGAUGGCUCUCCGCUCCUCAAUAAUUGUCCUGGAUACAGCAGAGUUGCUGUUUAUUCUUUUUGCCUUGUCCUCUAUCGCGUACUGUCUUCUCGUGAUAUUCCGGAUGCUGCUUGGUAUGGUCUUCCACGCCCGAAUGAUUGACGUCGCAAACUUCAAUCAGAACAUCAUGGCAUGUAGUAUUAUUCUGCCCCGGCCGAAUUGUUGUUAACACCUUAACAACACUGGAGACCUAUUCCCUUGUGUGAUAAAAUAUUCUUUUAUGCGAGCUGUAUUUCUUAUUCUUCUUCUUCAAUAUCCGGUUCCUUGGUUGUAUUGGACGAGGGGAUAAUAUGAUCAAGGGCGAGGGAACGAGCGACUCCGAAAAAUUUCGGAUUUCAAAUUUCGAGUUACUAUUCACAGUACUAUUCAAAUUCGGCGAACACUAUUCAAAUUCGCGGCACUAUUUAAAUUCAGCUCACUAUUCAAAUUCGGGAAUAUGAAUAGUGCCCGAGCACUCACCAGGAGUGGAUGGAGCACCUAUGGGUGGCGGCACUAUUCAGCCACUAUUCACUCACUAUUGCGCACUAUGGAGCUACUAUUCGGGGUCGCAUUCAGGGGUACGAGCACGCGCGGGUGCGUGAUUAGGUAUAUUCCUUAAUUAAGCCUAUUCUCAGGAUCUUUGCAGGUUGGCGAGACCGAAGAUUCAGCCAGUCGUGCUGCUAUGCUUGUGACAGUCCUACUCGGUACUCACCGCAUGCCUCGCUGGCUCGCUUCAGAACCAGGCCAGCCCGGCCUGCAGCCUCACCGUCCCCAGCCACGCUCACACAGGACUCAGGCUCUACCGUCUCCCCAGGCAGUUCCACCCGAAGGGAACACUUCUCUGCGCACACAGGGUUCUCCUCAAACGCCGCUACACAGGCUAACAUGAGAACGACACACGCAAAGGUUUCUCCUCUAGGGUCCCUAGCGUAGAGACAUCGCCCCAUACGAUCGAGCUUAAAGGAAGGCAGGGAUGCUACCAGGACAGCUUAAUCCAUUUCCACAUGACAAGCUUACAUGCGGCUUUCCCUUUCGGGAAACCCCAAGCACUUAGCACAAACCUUGAUUACCUUACAAACCGAGGGACGACCUCCAACGACCUCCCUUUAUUCUAGUAGUGGUAGUACAGAGGUGGAGUAAUACAGCGGUAGAUUCUAAAGUAUGGUGGCUAAUUCUUUCUCUCUCUGAGAGUGGUGGUGGAUGUCUUCAUGAGUGGAGUAUGAGUGGAGGUCUUCGGUGGUGGAGUGUGUCUUCGUGAUUCUUGGUGAUGCUCUGGUUGUGAUCUGGUUGAUGUCGUAGUGUGGUGCCUCGAAUAGUAGCUCAAUAGUGCGCAAUAGUGAGUGAAUAGUGGCUGAAUAGUGCCACCACCCAUAGGUGCUCCAUCCACUACCGGUGAGUGCUCGAGCACUAUUCAUAUUCCCGAAUUUGAAUAGUGAGCUGAAUUUAAAUAGUGCCGCGAAUUUGAAUAGUGUUCGCCGAAUUUGAAUAGUGCUGUGAAUAGUAACUCGAAAUUUGAAAUCCGAAAUUUUUCGGAGUCGCUCGUUCCCUCGCCCUCGAUCGUGAUUUCCCAGACUGGUAUCAGAGCCGAGGUUGUUAAAAUUUGUGUUUUUGAGGGUUUUUCUAUAUCUAGUCAAGAUAUUUGAAUUAGCUGUUACAACCUUAAGUAAGUGUUCUUGCUUUUAAUGGAAAGUUUAGUUAGCAAGAUUCAUCACUAUGAACAAAAGUUAAAUAAAAUACCUCAUGAAUAUAAUACCUCUAUGUUGAGUGAAUGGCCUGCUAUUAGAGAGAAAGAAGUUUAUUUUAUUAGGAUGUUAUAUAAGUUAAAAAAGGAUAAAGAUCUUUAUGACGAAAAAAUCAACUCUCAAUUAAUAAAAGAGCAAAAAGCUAAGGUGAAGUCAGUAGACCUUAAAAGCCAUAAAGCAAAAGAAGUUCCGCAAAAUGAUAUCAUGAAAGAUUCCACUAUUGAUAAAGAAGCCCAAACGAAGGUUAAUGAAAGUUAUCCUUUAGAAAGCUAUGAAGAAGAAGAAGAAAAUAAUGUGCAGAGUCACAAUGAUUUUAUAAACUCUCUUGGUGAAGAGGAAAUACAUAAUAUAGAAAAUGCUAUGGAUGCGCUAGAAAUAAAAGACGAAGAAACAAGUGAUUUGAAAGAAGCUAGAACUGAAUUAAUGGAUCCAGGAGAUUGUGAGCAUGAUUGGAUAAAAGGAAGAGGUGAUUAUAAUAUCAAGUGUGCUUUUUGCAUAUAUUAUCCUAGUCAAGAUAAUAGAUUUACUUGUAGUGUAUGUUUAAAACAAGCAUGUGCUUCAUGUUUAAGGAAUGCUAAUCAGAAAUGGAGACGAGAAAUAGAAAUAAUAGCAGAAGAUAAAAUACUAGCAAGUAGAGUUAGAAAUUUAGAAAAUUGAGUAAAUAUCUUAGAAGCUGAGUUGGAAGAUCUAAGUAAAAUAGAAUUUAAUAAUAAUAAGAUUGAAGGAAAUGUUAGUGGCAACACUGAGUUUAAAGAUCAAGCCAUAGUUGAUAAAAAUAAUGAUAAGGCUAUACAAUUAAAAGAUGCUAUAAUUAAUUUUGGCAGCAAAUACAUAGUUAGAUUACCAUUUAAAGAAAUUGUAGGAAUAAGGAUACCUGUAAAAGUAAAAUUAACACCUACCAUCACUUAUAAAAUAUUAGCAUUAGUAGAUACUGGUUGUACAAAAAAUAUUAUACAUGAUAAAUAUUUUGCAAGAUGCCCAGAGAUAGUACAUACAAUAGAUCAAGAUAAAGUAGAAAUAUCUACUGAUAUGUCAGGAAUAAAAAAGCUUCAUAACCAGUUAGCUUAUAAUAUUGAGAUACAAAUAAAUAAUACAAAAUAUAUAAUGGAUGAGAUCACAAUAAGGGACUUAUCCAUGCUAAAUGAUGAUAUGAUAUUAGGAUUAAGGUUUUUACAGUAUUCCUUACAAACAACAAUAAGGGUAGAAAUUUUGAUUUGCGCUAGCGUAGCCUACCUCGUAUCCCCACAGGAGUGUGUCUUCGUGAUUCUCUGGUGGUGAUCUGGUUGAUGCCGUAGUGUGGUUAUGCGGUGCCUUCAAUGCUUCACCCGGUACCUCCUUUUAUAGUCGCGGCAGAGACUUCUGGAGUUGCUUCGUGCUUAAGGCUUCUGGUGCCUUCAACUAUUCUCCUCUUCUGUUGCCUGGACACUUGGACGGCUCUCCGCUCCUUAAUAAUUGUCCUGGGUACAGUAGAGUUGCUGUUUAUUCUUUUUGCCUUGUCCUCUAUCGCGCACUGUCUUCUCGUGAUAUUCCGGAUGCUGCUUGGUAUGGUCUUCCACGCCCGAAUGAUUGACGUCGCAGACUUCAAUCAAAACAUCAUGGCAUGUAGUAUUAUUCUACCAGUAUUGGACGAGGGGAUAAUACGAUCAAGGGCGAGGGAACGAGCGACUCCAAAAAAUUUCGGAAUUCAAAUUUCGAGUUACUAUUCACAGCACUAUUCAAAUUCGGCGAACACUAUUCAAAUUCGCGGCACUAUUUAAAUUCAGCUCACUAUUCAAAUUCGGGAAUAUGAAUAGUGCCCGAGCACUCACCGGGAGUGGGUGGAGCACCUAUGGGUGGCGGCACUAUUCAGCCACUAUUCACUCACUAUUGCGCACUAUUGAGCUACUAUUCGGGGUCGCAUUCAGGGGAUACGAGCACGCGCGGGUGCGUGAUUAGGUAUAUUCCUUAAUUAAGCCUAUUCUCAGGAUCUUUGUGGGUUGGCGAGACCGAAGAUUCAGCCGGACGUGCUGCUAUGCUUGUGAUAGUCCUACUCGGUACUCACCGCAUGCCUCACUGGCUCGCUUCAGAACCAGGCCAGCCUAGCCUGCAGCCUCACCGUCCCCAGCCACGCUCACACAGGACUCAGGCUCUACCGUCUCCCCAGGCAGUUCCACGCGAAGGGAACACUUCUCUGCGCACACAGGGUUCUCCUCAAACGCCGCUACCAGGGCUAACACGAGAACGACACACGCAGAGGUUUCUCCUCUAGGGUCCCUAGCGUAGAGACAUCGCCCUAUACGAUCGAGCUUAAAGGAAGGCAGGGAUGCUACCAGGACAGCUUAAUCCAUUUCCAUGGGUCAAGCUUACAUGCGGCUUUCCCUUUCGGGAAACCCCAAGCACUUAGCACAAACCUUGAUUACCUUACAAACCGAGGGACGAGCUCCAACGGCCUCCCUUUAUUCUAGUGGUGGUAGUACAGAGGUGGAGUAAUACAGCGGUAGAUUCUAAAAUAUGGUGGCUAAUUCUAUCUCUCUCAGAGAGUGGUGGUGGAUGUCUUCAUGAGUGGAGUGUGGGUGGAGGUCUUCGGUGGUGGAGUGUGUCUUCGUGAUUCUUGGUGAUGCUCUGGUUGUGGUCUGGUUGAUGCCGUAGUGUGUUAAUUUUACCUUUACAGGUAUUCUUAUUCCUACAAUUUCUUUAAAUGGUAAUCUAACUAUGUAUUUGCUGCCAAAAUUAAUUAUAGCAUCUUUUAAUUGUAUAGCCUUAUCAUUAUUUUUAUCAACUAUGGCUUGAUCUUUAAACUCAGUGUUGCCACUAACAUUUCCUUCAAUCUUAUUAUUAUUAAAUUCUAUUUUACUUCUUAGAUCUUCCAACUCAGCUUCUAAGAUAUUUACUCUAUUUUCUAAAUUUCUAACUCUACUUGCUAGUAUUUUAUCUUCUGCUACUAUUUCUAUUUCUUGUCUCCAUUUCUGAUUAGCAUUCCUUAAACAUGAAGCACAUGCUUGUUUUAAACAUACACUACAUGUAAAUCUAUUAUCUUGACUAGGAUAAUAUAUACAAAAAGCACAUUUGAUAUUAUAAUCACCUCUUCCUUUUAUCCAAUCAUGCUCACAAUCUCCUUGAUCCAUUAAUUCAGUUUUAGCUUCUUUCGAAUCACUUGUUUCUUCAUCUUUUAUUUCUAGCGCAUCCAUAGCAUUUUCUAUAUUAUGUAUUUCCUCUUCACCAAGAGAGUUUAUAAAAUCAUUGUGACUCUGCAUAUUAUUUUCUUCUUCUUCAUAUCUUUCUAAAAGAUACCUUUCAUCAACCUUCUUUUGGGCUUCUUUAUCAAUAGUGGAAUCUUUCAUGAUAUCACUUUGCGGAACUUCUUUUGCUUUAUAUCUUCAGAAUUAAAAUGUUUUUGCCCAUUUUUUCUUAAUUUUGCAUAUAAUGGCCCAGCUAGUUUUGCUAAGUUUUCUAUGUAAUUUCUAGCAUAAUUUACUAUACCUAAAAAUUGCUGCAAGGUUUUCUUAUCAUUCAUGACAUCAGGAAAUUGCAAAAUUUUCUUUGCAAUAUGAUCUUGUAAAUAAAUUUUUCCCUCUCCUAUUUCAUGGCCUAAGAAAUUUAUCUUUUCUUUGCAUAUUUCCAUCUUCUUUUUAGAAAGUAUUAACCCAUGCUGCUCUACCUUUCUAAAGAACGUUUCCAAAUGAGCUAUAUGGUCUUUAUAAGAUUUUGAAAAAACUAAUAAAUCAUCUAUAUAAACCAAUAUGAAGUCUUGAUUUUCAUUAAAGAUAUUCUGCAUUUUUCUUUGAAACAGAGCAGGGGCAUUUUUUAGUCCUAAUGGCAUUACCAACCAUUCAAAAUGACCUUGAGGACAUGUGAAAGCAGUCCAACCUAUUGAUUCUUCUGCCAUUUUUACUUGCCAAAAUCCAACUUUUAAAUCAAAUUUUGAGAAAUAUUUGCUUCCUUGUAUUCUAUUUAUCCAUUCUUGCUUAUUUGGGAUAUUAUAUCCGUCAUCUAUUGUAUUAUCAUUUAAUCUUUUAUAAUUAAUAACCAUCCUUGACUUUUCUCUGGCUAUUUCAGCAUGAUUUCUAACUAUAAAGGCUGCUGACCUAUGGGGACUUCUGCUUUCAGUUAAAGUUCUAUGGGAACAAUGGGUAGAAACUUAUCCUCAUUAUUAUGAAGAAUUAAAAAGAGCUGGUAGCAACCCUUAUAAUUUUGCAAAUAUCAUAUCAAGUAUUGUUAUAGAUGAAGAUCCAGAAUUAGGUUAUACUGCAUUACAAAAUGAAAGAUUGAAGGAAAUAGAGAAAUUGACUUUAACAAAUUGGAAAGGAAUAAAAGAGUUCUCUCAGCAUUAUUUGUAUAACCCCACAACUGCUAAGCAAGGCUAUAAUAAGAGUAUAGUUGAAAGAUAUUUUAAUAAACUACCAGAUCCUUUAGGAUCUAUGAUAUUUGAAGAAUAUAAAAAGGAAUCUAAUGGAAGGGAAUAUAAUAUUUCUCAGGCUAUAACAUUUGUUUUUAAGCAACUAAGAAAAAUAUGCACAAGCAUACAAGCUCAAAGGUCAAUGAAGCAAUCAGAUUACAACUUUUGUAAUAAAAUAGUUCAAAUACCAUUGACAUAUGGAGAAGAGAAAUAUAGAAAUAAGAAAUACCCUAAAAAUUAUAAAAAGGGAAAUGUAAAAACAAAGAAAAGAUAUUUCCUAAGGAGAUCAGAUAAUAGAGCUCCUUUCCUUCACAAGAGAAAUGUAAGAAGAUAUAAUCCUAGGAAAAAUUAUGAUAGUACUUGUAGAUGCUUUAUUUGCAAUUCUCCAGAUCAUUUAAGUAAAACUUGUCCUAAUAAGGAUAAGAAGAGAUAUUCUAACAAGCAAGAAGAGCAAGAAAAGGUGUUAAUUAUAGAUAGUGUUAAUGAAAAUAUUUUGGUAUGUGAUGAUGAUAUAAUGGAUGAUGAAUCUAUAUAUUCAAUAAUAGAAACAGAUGAGAUUGAAUAUAAUGAAGAAGAUGAAUCGAGUGAUGAAGAGAUGAACUUGAUUGAGGAACUAGCAGGGUUAAAAAUAGAAAUGAUGGAUCAAGUAAUUCAGGAUCAUAAAAGAGAUGACGAUAAUAUAAAUUGUGUAUUUUGUAUAUAUUAUCAAGAUCCAGGAAAAAGGGCUACUUGUAGUUUAUGUAUAAAGCAGGCAUGUAGAUCAUGCUUAGAACAACCAAGUGACAAGAAAGUAGUCAAUACAAAAUGUGAGGAAAAUAAGAUCAGUCCGAAGGAGGACUCUUCAAAUGAUAAAAGAAAUAAUAAAUAUUUAACCAAUACUCCACACGAGUUUCUUAUCCCUAGGAUAAGUUUUAAGACUGAACAAGUGUUGGCAUAUUUUACACAAGAUAUUAUAGAUCUAAUAUGGAAGAAAUAUGCUGAAAGACAGUACAAAACAUUUCAGGAUAUACAAAAUUACUUCAUGAGGCUAUAUCAAGGUAUAGAAAGGAAUUUGGGAAUAAUAGUUAUUAUAAAUACCUUUCCUUUGCUUCAUCUUGAUGAUAAGUUAAUUGUUAAGCCUCAUCAUAAAUUUAUAAUACUUAAGGCUGAUAUAAACCUAAAAUAUUUUACAAAUAUACAAAGGCAUACAGGAGAAGAUAUUUCUUUACAAACUAUUAUUGAUCAUGGGUUAGUCCGAGAUAUUUAUGGAACAUUGGAGGAAAUACUUCAAUCUGAUUUAGGAAAGGCUAUUAAAGAAGCAUGCAAAAGAUUGGCGUGUGUUCAAGGAAAGUAUAAAAUAAAAUACUUUUCUAACCCACCAAAAUUUACACUACCAUUGAGACCAGCAAGUCAUGAUAUAUAUAUUAUAAAAGGUUCAUAUAAAUUCCCUACGAUAUGGUCUUCAGAAACAUGGUACAAUUAUGAAGAAAUACGUGCCAAAAAUAAUCAUGAUAAUUGGAGAAUUUUCAGUGAAGCAAAAGAAAUAGAAGGAAAUACUAAAUUCAAUACUGAGUACCAUAUGAUGUAGCAAAACAAAAUAACAAAAAUAUUUUUACGAGAAUAUUAUGGAAGGAAUAGUAUAAUAUCAAAAGAAGUAGGAAGGCUACUUAAGCCAAAUUAUGGAAUGGAAUGCCAGUUAAGAAAAGAAUAUCGUGAAUUACUGUCAUGGUAUCAACUGUGGCAACCAGAGGAACCGGAUAUUGAAGAAGAAGAAUAGAAAUACAGUUCGCAUAAAAGAGUAUUUUAUCACACAAGGGAAUAAAUCUCCAGUGUUGUUAAAAUGUUAAUAACAAUUCGGCUGGGGCAGAAUAAUACUACAUGUCAUGAUGUUCUGAUUGAAGUCUGCGACGUCAAUCAUUCGGGCGUGGAAGACCAUACCAAGCAGCAUCCGGAAUAUCACGAGAAGACAGUACGCGAUAGAGGACAAGGCAAAAAGAAUAAACAACAACUCUACUGUACCCAGGACAAUUAUUGAGGAGCGGAGAGCCGUCCAAGUGUCCAGGCAAUAGAAGAGGAGAAUAGUUGAAGGCACCAGAAGCCUUAAGCACGAAGCAACUUCAGAAGCCUCUGCCGCGACUAUAAAAGGAGGUACCGGGUGAAGCAUUGGAGGCACCACCACCGCAGCACGACACCACACUACGACAUCAACCAGAUCACAACCAAAGCAUCACCAAGAAUCACGAAGACACACUGCACCACCGAAGACCCCCACUCAUACUCCACUCAUGAAGACAUCCACCACCACUCUCUGAGACAAAGAAUUAGCCACCAUACUUUAGAAUCUACCGCUGUAUUACUCCACCUCUGUACUACCACUACUAGAAUAAAGGGAGGCCGUUGGAGCUCGUCCCUCGGUUUGUAAGGUAAUCAAGGUUUGUGCUAAGUGCUUGGGGUUUCCCGAAAGGGAAAGCCGCAUGUAAGCUUGUCCUGUGGAAAUGGAUUAAGCUGUCUUGGCAGCAUCCCUGCCUUCCUUUAAGCUCAUUCGUAUGGGGUGAUGUCUCUACGCUAGGGACCCUAGAGGAGAAACCUCUGCGCGUGUCGUUCUCGUGUUAGCCCUGGUAGCGGCGUUUGAGGAGAACCCUGUGUGCGCAGAGAAGUGUUCCCUUCGGGUGGAACUGUCUGGGGAGACGAUAGAGCCUGAGUCCUGUUUGAGCGUGGCUGGGGACGGUGAGGGUGCAGUCCGGGCUGGCCUGGUUCUGAAGCGAGCCAGCGAGGCAUACGGUGAGUACCGAGUAGGACUGUCACAAGCAUAGCAGCACGUCCUGCUGAAUCUUCGGUCUCGCCAACCCGCAAAGAUCCUGAGAAUAGGCUUAAUUAAGGAAUAUACCUAAUCACGCACCCGCGCGUGCUCGUAUCCCUGAAAGAGACCCCGAAUAGUAGCUCAAUAGUGCGCAAUAGUGAGUGAAUAGUGGCUGAAUAGUGCCGCCACCCAUAGGUGCUCCAUCCACUCCCGGUGAGUGCUCGGGCACUAUUCAUAUUCCCGAAUUUGAAUAGUGAGCUGAAUUUAAAUAGUGCCGCGAAUUUGAAUAGUGUUCAUCGAAUUUGAAUAGUGCUGUGAAUAGUAACUCGAAAUUUGAAUUCCGAAAUUUUUCGUAGUCGCUCGUUCCCUCGCCCUUGAUCGUAUUAUCCCCUCGUCCAAUACUGGUAUCAGAGCCAGGCAUGCGGUGAGUACCGAGUAGGACUGUCACAAGCAUAGCAGCACGACCGGUUGAAUCUUCGGUCUCGCCAACCCGCAAAGAUCCUGAGAAUAGGCUUAAUUAAGGAAUAUACCUAAUCACGCACCCGCGCGUGCUCGUAUCCCUGAAAGCGACCCCGAAUAGUAGCUCAAUAAUGCGCAAUAGUGAGUGAAUAGUGGCUGAAUAGUGCCGCCACCCAUAGGUGCUCCACCCACUCCCGGUGAGUGCUCGGGCACUAUUCAUAUUCCCGAAUUUGAAUAGUGAGCUGAAUUUAAAUAGUGCCGCGAAUUUGAAUAGUGUUCGUCGAAUUUGAAUAGUGCUAUGAAUAGUAACUCGAAAUUUGAAUUCCGAAAUUUUUCGGAGUCGCUCGUUCCCUCGCUUUUGAUCGUCACGAGGAGACAGUGCGCGAUAGAGGACAAGGCAAAAAGAAUAAACAGCAACUCUACUAUACCCAGGACAAUUAUUGAGGAGCGGGGAGCCGUCCAAGUGUCCAGGCAACAGAAGAGGAGAAUAGUUGAAGGCACCAGAAGCCUUAACCACACUACGACAUCAACCAGAUCACAACCAGAGCAUCACCAAGAAUCACGAAGACACACUCCACCACCGAAGACCUCCACCCACACUCCACUCAUGAAGACAUCCACCACCACUCUCUGAGAGAGAUAGAAUUAGCCACCAUAUUUUAGAAUCUACCGCUGUAUUACUCCACCUCUGUACUACCACCACUAGAAUAAAGGGAGGCUGUUAGAGCUCGUCCCUCGGUUUGUAAGGUAAUCAAGGUUUGUGCUAAGUGCUUGGGGUUUCCCGAAAGGGAAAGCCGCAUGUAAGCUUGACC
RNAcentral lists this long non-coding RNA (13224 nucleotides) under Setaria viridis. RNAcentral describes it as "long non-coding RNA (SVIR_LNC008984)". Lineage: Eukaryota; Viridiplantae; Streptophyta; Magnoliopsida; Poales; Poaceae. The record is from RNAcentral.